GGCAGCAGCCGUAUCUCCCUGCAGGGCUCAACUGGCAGCCCUCUGGAGCUCAGCAGGGUUGAGCCUGGUCAGUACCUGGAUGGGAGACUCCUGGGAAGCUAUGGUUGCUGCUGGAA
This 116-nucleotide ribosomal RNA is filed under the name Lepisosteus oculatus (spotted gar). Lineage: Eukaryota; Metazoa; Chordata; Actinopteri; Semionotiformes; Lepisosteidae. The record is from RNAcentral.